Cucurbita moschata (crookneck pumpkin) is the source of this 72-nucleotide non-coding RNA. NCBI's taxonomy places the organism in Eukaryota, Viridiplantae, Streptophyta, Magnoliopsida, Cucurbitales, Cucurbitaceae. The record is from the annotation of a RefSeq genome assembly.
GGGUCCAUAGCUCAAUGUUAGAGCAUUUGAUUGCUGAUCAAGAGGUCACCAAUUCGAACAUGGUUGGGCCCU